GACGAACGCUGGCGGCGUGCUUAACACAUGCAAGUCGAACGGAAAGGCCCUGCUUUUGUGGUGUGCUCGAGUGGCGAACGGGUGAGUAACACGUGAGUAACCUGCCCUUGACUUUGGGAUAACUUCCGGAAACUGGGGCUAUUACCGGAUAGGAGCUCCUGCUGCGUGGUGGGUGUUGGAAAGUUUCGGCGGUUGGGGAUGGACUCGCGGCUUAUCAGCUUGUUGGUGGGGUAGUGGCUUACCAAGGCUUUGACGGGUAGCCGGCCUGAGAGGGUGACCGGCCACAUUGGGACUGAGAUACGGCCCAGACUCCUACGGGAGGCAGCAGUGGGGAAUAGUGCACAAUGGGCGGAAGCCUGAUGCAGCAACGCCGCGUGCGGGAUGACGGCCUUCGGGUUGUAAACCGCUUUCGCCUGUGACGAAGCGUGAGUGACGGUAAUGGGUAAAGAAGCACCGGCUAACUACGUG
RNAcentral lists this ribosomal RNA (468 nucleotides) under uncultured bacterium. RNAcentral's name for it is "partial 16S ribosomal RNA". It matches the Rfam family "Bacterial small subunit ribosomal RNA", at positions 28 to 507 of the family's 1533-position model. The record is from RNAcentral.